RNAcentral lists this long non-coding RNA (1035 nucleotides) under Bemisia tabaci. RNAcentral describes it as "lncRNA ENSSSA2NGG008075". Lineage: Eukaryota; Metazoa; Arthropoda; Insecta; Hemiptera; Aleyrodidae. The record is from RNAcentral.
GGAGAUGAAAUCAUAAACUCGGACGAGUAAUUUAAUCAAACAUCCUUAAUUUUGUUAAUGGGCUAUAAGGCUAUCGAAUAAAGAGCUACCCACUUUCUUUCAAGUCUACUUUGUCGUGCCACAUCCAGCAUAUCGACGGUGAAACUACCAGAGCACGUACUUCGGUUUGCGCCGUUGCAGAUUUCCUGUCAUACUUCAUCAUUUAAAUGGAAAACUACUCAGCGUCUAUUCCUGAGAACUUCCGUGACUUUUCCUCUCUAGGCGAAGAAAAGUCUGUGUAAACUUCAAGGAAUGAUUUGAUUCUUUCUUUCUCAAGAAAUUUAAUGGGACCGGAGAAGUUUAAACUCCGCAAACGAGAUAUGUGGUCAGGUAGUUUCACCAUUGAUAUCUAUAAAAAACUAACGACCGAAGUGAUGGCUGCAAUAUAAAAUCCCUUCGCUGAUAAAAGUUUGACAGUCUAAGGUCUUCCAAUUACAUGUUCAAGUAUGUAUUAUAAUUGCAGAUUUACAUCAUUGUAACGGAAUUACGUUGACUUUACAGGUGAAAAUUGUCGAUAGAGCUGGAAAAAUGGUACCGUUUGGUUCAUCGGGGAACUCUGGUGCAGAGGAUAUGUGAAAAUGCUGGGUUACUACAAUCAGGACUCUAAAACAGCGGAAAUGAUCGGGAAAGAUGCAUGGAUAAAAACUGGAGAUGAAGCGCUCUUAUCUGAAGACGGUUACGCACAAAUUGUCGGCAGAAUCAAAGAUUUAAUAAUAAGAGGUGGUGAAAUAUAUCUCCGAAAGAGGUCGAAGAUUUGUUACAAGCUCAUCCAGAUAUUUUUGAGGCACAGGUGUUUGGGGUCACAGAUGAACGACUAGGCGAAGUUGUUGGAGCAGCGCUAAUACUAAGGCCAGGAAAAUCAAUUACAGCGGAUGAAGUAAAAACCUUUUGUAAAGGAAAGUAAGUGCAUUUAAGAUUUGUUUCAUGCUUUCGAGUAUUUUUACGUACAAAAUAUUAUUUGCAAUGAGACAAUUUCUAACAAUCUUUGCUCUCGUC